GCAGAUAUGGUGAAAUUGGUUAUCACGCCUCUCUGAUACGGAGGUAUUUCCUGUUCGAGUCAGGAUGUCUGUA
This 73-nucleotide transfer RNA is filed under the name Butyrivibrio sp. RNAcentral describes it as "tRNA-Ile". It matches the Rfam family "tRNA". From Rfam's summary of the family: Transfer RNA (tRNA) molecules are approximately 80 nucleotides in length. RNAcentral also lists the same sequence under 2 other names. The record is from RNAcentral. Lineage: Bacteria; Bacillati; Bacillota; Clostridia; Lachnospirales; Lachnospiraceae.